RNAcentral lists this ribosomal RNA (506 nucleotides) under uncultured bacterium. Its description in RNAcentral is "partial 16S ribosomal RNA". It matches the Rfam family "Bacterial small subunit ribosomal RNA", at positions 28 to 523 of the family's 1533-position model. The record is from RNAcentral.
GAUGAACGCUAGCUACAGGCUUAACACAUGCAAGUCGAGGGGUAACAAGAGGAAAGCUUGCUUUUCUUGUUGACGACCGGCGCACGGGUGAGUAACGCGUAUCCAACCUGCCUAUAACUAGGGAAUAACCUUGCGAAAGUAAGACUAAUACCCUAUGAUUUCCUUUGAUGACAUCAGAUUAGGAAUAAAGAUUUAUCGGUUAUAGAUGGGGAUGCGUCUGAUUAGCUUGUUGGCGGGGUAACGGCCCACCAAGGCAACGAUCAGUAGGGGUUCUGAGAGGAAGGUCCCCCACAUUGGAACUGAGACACGGUCCAAACUCCUACGGGAGGCAGCAGUGAGGAAUAUUGGUCAAUGGGCGGAAGCCUGAACCAGCCAAGUAGCGUGCAGGAUGACGGCCCUAUGGGUUGUAAACUGCUUUUAUACAGGAAUAAAGUUAGCCACGUGUGGUUAUUUGUAGGUACUGUAUGAAUAAGGACCGGCUAAUUCCGUGCCAGCAGCCGCAGUAA